RNAcentral lists this ribosomal RNA (497 nucleotides) under uncultured bacterium. Its description in RNAcentral is "partial 16S ribosomal RNA". It matches the Rfam family "Bacterial small subunit ribosomal RNA", at positions 28 to 507 of the family's 1533-position model. The record is from RNAcentral.
GAUGAACGCUGGCGGCGUGCCUAAUACAUGCAAGUCGAGCGAACAGAUAAGGAGCUUGCUCCUUUGACGUUAGCGGCGGACGGGUGAGUAACACGUGGGUAACCUACCUAUAAGACUGGGAUAACUUCGGGAAACCGGAGCUAAUACCGGAUAAUAUUUCGAACCGCAUGGUUCGAUAGUGAAAGAUGGUUUUGCUAUCACUUAUAGAUGGACCCGCGCCGUAUUAGCUAGUUGGUAAGGUAACGGCUUACCAAGGCGACGAUACGUAGCCGACCUGAGAGGGUGAUCGGCCACACUGGAACUGAGACACGGUCCAGACUCCUACGGGAGGCAGCAGUAGGGAAUCUUCCGCAAAGGGCGAAAGCCUGGCGGAGCAACGCCGCGUGAGUGAUGAAGGUCUUCGGAUCGUAAAACUCUGUUAUUAGGGAAGAACAUACGUGUAAGUAACUGUGCACGUCUUGACGGUACCUAAUCAGAAAGCCACGGCUAACUACGUG